GCCCAAGAGAUCGGGAUAACACCUGGAAACAGAUGCUAAUACCGGAUAACAACAGAUGAUGCCUAUCAACUGCUUAAAAGAUGGUUCUGCUAUCACUCUUGGAUGGACCUGCGGUGCAUUAGCUAGUUGGUAGGGUAACGGCCUACCAAGGCGAUGAUGCAUAGCCGAGUUGAGAGACUGAUCGGCCACAUUGGGACUGAGACACGGCCCAAACUCCUACGGGAGGCAGCAGCC
RNAcentral lists this ribosomal RNA (234 nucleotides) under uncultured Lactobacillus sp. Its description in RNAcentral is "partial 16S ribosomal RNA". It matches the Rfam family "Bacterial small subunit ribosomal RNA", at positions 128 to 355 of the family's 1533-position model. Lineage: Bacteria; Bacillati; Bacillota; Bacilli; Lactobacillales; Lactobacillaceae. The record is from RNAcentral.